Molecule: ribosomal RNA, 756 nt
Filed under: uncultured Scopuloides
Lineage: Eukaryota; Fungi; Basidiomycota; Agaricomycetes; Polyporales; Meruliaceae
Description: partial 28S ribosomal RNA
Rfam family: Eukaryotic large subunit ribosomal RNA
Source: RNAcentral
GAAUCCCGUCUUUGACACGGACUACCAGUGCUUUGUGAUACGCUCUCAAAGAGUCGAGUUGUUUGGGAAUGCAGCUCAAAAUGGGUGGUAAAUUCCAUCUAAAGCUAAAUAUUGGCGAGAGACCGAUAGCGAACAAGUACCGUGAGGGAAAGAUGAAAAGCACUUUGGAGAGAGAGUUAAACAGUACGUGAAAUUGCUGAAAGGGAAGCGCUUGAAGUCAGUCGCGUUGUUCAGAACUCAACCUGGUUUUACUUGGUGCACUUUCUGAAUGACGGGCCAACAUCAGUUUUGACUGUCGGAUAAAAGCCUUGGGAAUGUGGUACCUCCGGGUGUGUUAUAGCCUUUGGUUGUAUACGAUGGUUGGGAUUGAGGAUCGCAGCACGCCUUUUGGCCGGGGUUCGCCCACGUACGUGCUUAGGAUGUUGGCGUAAUGGCUUUAAACGACCCGUCUUGAGACACGGACCAAGGAGUCUAACAUGCCUGCGAGUGUUUGGGUGGAAAACCCGAGCGCGCAAUGAAAGUGAAAGUUGGGAUCCCUGUCGUGGGGAGCACCGACGCCCAUACCAGACCUUCUGUGACGGAUAUGCGGUUGAGCAUGUAUGUUGGGACCCGAAAGAUGGUGAACUAUGCCUGAAUAGGGUGAAGCCAGAGGAAACUCUGGUGGAAGCUCGUAGCGAUUCUGACGUGCAAAUCGAUCGUCAAAUUUGGGUAUAGGGGCGAAAGACUAAUCGAACCAUCUAGUAGCUGGUUCCUGCC